This 508-nucleotide ribosomal RNA is filed under the name uncultured bacterium. RNAcentral describes it as "partial 16S ribosomal RNA". It matches the Rfam family "Bacterial small subunit ribosomal RNA", at positions 28 to 523 of the family's 1533-position model. The record is from RNAcentral.
GAUGAACGCUAGCUACAGGCUUAACACAUGCAAGUCGAGGGGAAACGACAUCGAAAGCUUGCUUUUGAUGGGCGUCGACCGGCGCACGGGUGAGUAACGCGUAUCCAACCUGCCCACCACUCGGGGAUAACCUUGCGAAAGUAAGACUAAUACCCAAUGAUAUCUCUAGAAGACAUCUGAAAGAGAUUAAAGAUUUAUCGGUGAUGGAUGGGGAUGCGUCUGAUUAGCUUGUUGGCGGGGUAACGGCCCACCAAGGCUACGAUCAGUAGGGGUUCUGAGAGGAAGGUCCCCCACAUUGGAACUGAGACACGGUCCAAACUCCUACGGGAGGCAGCAGUGAGGAAUAUUGGUCAAUGGGCGAGAGCCUGAACCAGCCAAGUAGCGUGCAGGAUGACGGCCCUAUGGGUUGUAAACUGCUUUUAUAAGGGAAUAAAGUGAGCCUCGUGAGGCUUUUUGCGUGUACCUUAUGAAUAAGGACCGGCUAAUUCCGUGCCAGCCGCCGCCGUAA